GAUGAACGCUGGCGGCGUGCCUAAUACAUGCAAGUCGAGCGAACAGACGAGGAGCUUGCUCCUCUGACGUUAGCGGCGGACGGGUGAGUAACACGUGGAUAACCUACCUAUAAGACUGGGAUAACUUCGGGAAACCGGAGCUAAUACCGGAUAAUAUAUUGAACCGCAUGGUUCAAUAGUGAAAGACGGUUUUGCUGUCACUUAUAGAUGGAUCCGCGCCGCAUUAGCUAGUUGGUAAGGUAACGGCUUACCAAGGCGACGAUGCGUAGCCGACCUGGAGGGGUGAUCGGCCACACUGGAACUGAGACACGGUCCAGACUCCUACGGGAGGCAGCAGUAGGGAAUCUUCCGCAAUGGGCGAAAGCCUGACGGAGCAACGCCGCGUGAGUGAUGAAGGUCUUCGGAUCGUAAAACUCUGUUAUUAGGGAAGAACAAAUGUGUAAGUAACUAUGCACGUCUUGACGGUACCUAAUCAGAAAGCCACGGCUAACUACGUG
Molecule: ribosomal RNA, 497 nt
Filed under: uncultured bacterium
Lineage: Bacteria
Description: partial 16S ribosomal RNA
Rfam family: Bacterial small subunit ribosomal RNA
Source: RNAcentral